Molecule: long non-coding RNA, 3821 nt
Filed under: Pelobates cultripes (western spadefoot toad)
Lineage: Eukaryota; Metazoa; Chordata; Amphibia; Anura; Pelobatidae
Source: RNAcentral
GUUCCAUAAGAAAAGGAAGAUAUGAAAAAAUUACGUUUUAUUGUUUACGUUUAUGUUAAAAAAAAACUGAAAACAUUUUGAAUACAAAAAACAAACAAACAAACCUCAAGGAAUGAAAUUACAAUUAUAUGGGAUAUUUAAGAACUACAAUACUGAUAUUAUAGUGCAUCUUAAAGGGACACCCUAUGUUGGAUUCAACAUCCCCUUUUAGUAGCAUUGCUAAAAAUAAUACUCGUCUCGGACAACACAGGAUCUCCUGCUCAUGUGCUGAUAAGUUGUUCAAACAGGAAAUGGCUGAAAUCACUCUGCCAAUCCCAGUUCCCUUUUCAUACUUUGUCAGGGAACUGCAUGCUUCUCAUAUAACAAAAUCAUUAAUGAUAUACACACAGUAGCAUGUACACAUGCAAUCGUGGACCCAUUUGUCACGUCACAUUCAACAACAAAAUACAAUUAUUGUGUAUAUAUUUAUAUAUAAUAUGCACUCACACAGGGGCUUCAAAUCAUAAAGGGUGAGUACUUAUUGUAUACAUAUCUUUUAUGAAUGAAUGUGUGGAGCUAUGGCCCAAGUGAUUGUAUCAGCUGAUGUAAGAAUCGUACUUCUGACAAUGUGCAAAUAAAAUUGAAAUGAUUUUUCCAUGAUAAUCUAUCAAAGGCAAUCCUGCACCCUUGGUACCAGAUGUGUUCCUUUAAUUAUAUUCAGUACGGUUAUGUGUUUAAAAAAAAAAAAAAAAAUCAAAAAUAAAUCGUGAAAUAUUUUUUUUACAGUCUUGAAAAAAAAAAUAUGAUUCACAAUGCUGAGUAAAAGCAUAAGCAAGUCAUGGAAUUUGAAUAUAUCUAAUAUACUAAAGUAGUGGUUCCCAAAACAGUCCUCUUGACCCAGCAACAAUCCUUGUUAUAUUAGUAUCUCCAUUCUAAUAGAAAAGCAAACCAUAUAAAUCCUGGACUGUUGUUGGACUGUGAGGACUAGUUUGGGUACCACUGUUAAAGGAACCUCUAGGUUGUGCCAUCUAUAAAGACAAUGGUAGGGCAAAUAAAAUCUAAUUGCAAAGUUUAUGCCACAAUUUAAAACAAAUUAUAAUAAUUUAUUUUACAGUUAAAAGUCUAGAAUUUGUCUUUUUUUGAGUUUAAGAAUUUUUGCAGCUCUACAAUGUUCGUCUGAUAAUAAACUAAUGGUCCACAGAUUCUAUUGUUUUUUUUUGUGUGGUUCCAUUCACUUAUUGAAAAGAAGGAAAAAUCCUAGCUGCUCUUACAUUGCAUGGCAGGGCUUAUGGGGUAUAGUCAGCUUUUACAAAUAUAACAAUGAGAUGACAAGUACUGUCUGACAAAAUUCAGCUACUUCAUGGUUCUGAUAGAAACUGUCGAUUAUAAGAAAUUUACAGAAAUUUAAGGUGAGCGUCUUUGGCAGAAGGCUUGUAAAAAAAGAGAAGACAGACAAAUCCAGUUUGAAGUAUUCUCUUAUUUUUGCUAAACUAUGAAUACAAAAAUAUUCGGUUUUGUUUCUUAUUAAGACAAGUAGGAUACAGAAGCAGUCAAAAUGGGGAACCUGCCCCCACUACAUAACCUGUUACCAUACAAAAUACACCGCCAUUAAAGAAGGUGUGAAAAUCAUAUGUUAUUUAAAUUAUUCACUAACUGGAGAACUGACAAGAGAACUGCAAAUGUUAGGCCAAAAUAGUCACAGUGGAAAUAAAACCGAAUUGAAGAAUUACCAGUUCGUCUAUUUUAUUUCCUUGGUCAACUCUCCAGAAUUCCCAUUCAAAUGGACACUAUAGUCACCAGAACAAUGUAGUUCUGUUGUGUAUAGCUUGUCCCUGCGGGCUUUUCAAUGUUCAGGGAAAAGGAAGUGUGCAAUAUGGGCAUUCAGUGGCUCCACGCUCUGCAUGGAGGUGCUGAAUGUUCCCCAAACAGAUACACUGAUUCAAGGCAUCUCUAUAAGGAGAUGCUGAUUGGUACAGUGUUUUGCUGCACAUGCGCAAUAGCCUCCAAAUGCUUUUGUAUCAGAAAGCAUUGGAUUGGCAGAAAUCAUCAAGACUGAUGAUCUCAGUCACGGAGGCGGAGCAAAGCCGGGCAAGCCGCGGCGAGACUUGGGCAGCAUGGGAAAAAAUGUAAACUCACCUUUUCACUGCUUUGAUGGGGGGAGCAGUGACCUAGACAGCCACACCAGCACUAUAGUAUCAGGAAUACAUGUUAGUAUUCCUGAUACUAAGGUGCCCCUUUAAGUGAAUAACUGCAUUAAAAAGGGCCUCAUUUGCAAUAACCCUCAAAUGCUAGGUUUUCAAGGGGCGCCAACUUCAGUUUCAUUGGAAUGCCCUUUAAAAUUAGUUACUGUACAAUAUAUUAUAAAUAUUAUGCAGGAAAAACUAAAAUUCCUGUGCAUUUAACACAUACUACAGACAAAACAAACCAAAUUUUAAAUACAGUAAUGUUACCACCUUAGUAACCCAACACAUUGGUCACACAGUAUAUGAUUAUAGUGAUAAUAUUAAAAAGUGGCAAUAGUAAGACAUAUUUUGAAAUUUAAGUGAAAUAUGCAAAAAAAAUUAUGAUUUACUAGUUCUGCUAGCAUUUUUUUUGUUUUACCUUUUCUCUUAUGUUUGACACUAUUUGAAAUUAUUCACUUAACUAGAAGUUAUAAAGGUACCACAAAUUCAAAGAUCAAAACAGCCAGAUUUUCAAAAAUUCUUUAACACAGCUAUUUUCCGACUCAAAUAUUCGGGCCUAAAACAUGUAAUUGCAUUGUCAUUUUUUCACAGUUUAUUAAAUACACUCCAUUGUGACUAUUGGCACCAUUUUUAUAAAAUAUCCAGUUAUGGAUUUCUGAGGAGAAUCAGUCAUGCUAUAUGUAGGGAUUUAUUCUUAAUCAGUUGUGCUUAUUGAAAAAGAAUGAUUAUUAACGUAAUGGGGUAAUGAUGAGAAUUCAGAAAAAUUGGGUGGAAAUGUCCAAACUGGAAGAAUUCUCAAAUCCGUGGUCAAUUCCUCAUUUUAUUCAUAACUCAGUGAGUUUCAUAAUUGAUGCAAAAUAGAGCAGUGUUGGGAAAAUACUUAACUCAACUAAGCUGGGAAUUUUUCUCAGCUAUUUAGACCUACAUUUGGAUAUCAUCUUACAGUUGAAUGAUUAAAAUCCAAAUUUAGGCUAAUAAAGCCAGGCUCUGACUAUAGACUACUUGGAUAUGUUUUUAAUCAGUUAUUUUUGCGUUCAUUCUACAAUUGAGUUUUUCGUGUCACUACAACUCAUAGUUUAGUGAAUAAAUCCCACAGGGGAUUCAGCAUCCAAAGAAAAUUUCUAAUUUUAAGCCAAAACAAACUGAAAAGAUUGAGAAUUUUGGGCAGUAAUUUGUCCAACCCAUCAGAUUAAGAUUCUUAACUUCUAAAUGAACAAUGACUGUUUAGGCUAAAUUAUCUUACCAGAAUAAAGGUAAAUGAACAAUGACUGUUUAGGCUAAAUUAUUUUACCAGAAUAAAGGUUUACUCUGCUUACUACACCUCCACUGAAAUCUGUAUGUAGAGCUAGUCAGCAAAGAUUUUGUUCUCAAAUAGAACCCCCCCAUAUUUUUGUUUUACAAUAAUGUUGUCUUGAAUUGCAGAUGCAAAUAAGCAGGACAUUCUAUGCUAGCGCACCAGAUCUGUAGGACCGUAAUGUGAUUACGGUAAAAGUAUCAGCUGUCACUAAGUGGGUAAGACAAAUGAACCAAUCCUUGACAAUGCUGGUUAUUAUUAAAAUAAGUACCAUUUUCCCCCCCAUGAUUUUCUUAAGGCACAAACAUUUUCACUACUUCCAAUAAUAUGCACUCUUACAUAUUGUAAAAGCAAUGUCAAAAAAC